GCCUACGGGGCGCAGCAGUAGGGAAUCUUCCACAAUGGGCGAAAGCCUGAUGGAGCAACGCCGCGUGGGUGAAGAAGGUCUUCGGAUCGUAAAACCCUGUUGUUAGAGAAAAAAGUGCGUGAGAGUAACUGUUCACGUUUCGACGGUAUCUAACCAGAAAGCCACGGCUAACUACGUGCCAGCAGCCGCCGUAAUACGUAGGUGGCAAGCGUUAUCCGGAUUUAUUGGGCGUAAAGGGAACGCAGGCGGUCUUUUAAGUCUGAUGUGAAAGCCUUCGGCUUAACCGGAGUAGUGCAUUGGAAACU
RNAcentral lists this ribosomal RNA (305 nucleotides) under uncultured bacterium. Its description in RNAcentral is "bacterial SSU rRNA". It matches the Rfam family "Bacterial small subunit ribosomal RNA", at positions 337 to 634 of the family's 1533-position model. The record is from RNAcentral.